UACGGAGGGUGCAAGCGUUAUCCGGAUUUAUUGGGUUUAAAGGGUGCGUAGGCUGUAACAUAAGUCAGUGGUGAAAUACCGGGGCUCAACUCCGGGGCUGCCAUUGAAACUGUGUUACUUGAGUUCAGUGGAAGUAGGCGGAAUGUGUUGUGUAGCGGUGAAAUGCAUAGAUAUAACACAGAACACCGAUCGCGAAGGCAGCUUACUAUACUUGGACUGACGCUGAUGCACGAAAGCGUGGGGAGCGAACAGG
This 253-nucleotide ribosomal RNA is filed under the name uncultured bacterium. RNAcentral describes it as "partial 16S ribosomal RNA". It matches the Rfam family "Bacterial small subunit ribosomal RNA", at positions 524 to 776 of the family's 1533-position model. The record is from RNAcentral.